UACGGAGGGUGCAAGCGUUGUCCGGAUUUAUUGGGUUUAAAGGGUGCGUAGGCGGCCUCUUAAGUCAGUGGUGAAAGCCCGCGGCUCAACCGCGGAACUGCCAUUGAUACUGGGAGGCUUGAGUACAGACGAGGUAGGCGGAAUUGAAGAUGUAGCGGUGAAAUGCUUAGAUAUCUUCAAGAACACCGAUUGCGUAGGCAGCUUACUAGGCUGUAACUGACGCUGAGGCACGAAAGCGUGGGGAGCGAACAGG
Molecule: ribosomal RNA, 253 nt
Filed under: uncultured bacterium
Lineage: Bacteria
Description: partial 16S ribosomal RNA
Rfam family: Bacterial small subunit ribosomal RNA
Source: RNAcentral